CGUGAGACAGUUCGGUCCCUAUCCGCUGUGCGCGUAGGAAUAUUGAGAAGGGCUGUCCCUAGUACGAGAGGACCGGGACGGACGAACCUCUGGUGUGCCAGUUGUCCUGCCAAGGGCAUGGCUGGUUGGCUACGUUCGGAAAGGAUAACCGCUGAAAGCAUCUAAGCGGGAAGCCUGCUUCGAGAUGAGUAUUCCCACCCUCUUGAGGGGUUAAGGCUCCCAGUAGACGACUGGGUUGAUAGGCCAGAUGUGGAAGCCCGGUAACGGGUGGAGCUGACUGGUACUAAUAGGCCGAGGGCUUGUCCUCAGUUG
This 312-nucleotide ribosomal RNA is filed under the name Streptomyces sp. SID4937. RNAcentral's name for it is "partial 23S ribosomal RNA". It matches the Rfam family "Bacterial large subunit ribosomal RNA", at positions 2620 to 2925 of the family's 2925-position model. The record is from RNAcentral. Lineage: Bacteria; Bacillati; Actinomycetota; Actinomycetes; Kitasatosporales; Streptomycetaceae.